GGAUGUGCUUCUGAGGUUUGCUGGAGAUGCUGAGCCUGCCUCCAGACGUGGACGCGGCAGAAGGAGGAAAUAGGGACUCGCCAGCUGCCGGGCCAGAGGACAGAACUCGAACGGAUCAUACGACCAGAGCUCAAGGUCAACACAAACUUGUACCAUGUACCUUCUGCGACGUUACCAAGUAAAACACGACAAUUUACACAGUAAGUAAGCUGAAACUGUACUGUAAAAGGAAGCCUAGUUUGUUUCCAUGGUAUUACCAGGCUCUUACCAUAUAAGUUGUAACUGGUUAUUCCCUUUUCCAUGCAAUCAACACAAACCAUAUAUGUUCUGCAACAUCGUUCACCAGUAGUUAAGCACUUUAAUUGUUGUUAUGAAACCCCAAACCACUGUUGAUGAAAGGCAUAUUCAAAUUAAACAAAAUCAAAGGCUUAUCUUUCAAACAAUGCAUAUCUCACAAACAGGCACUGAACACUGAAGAAAUCUGACAAAAAAAAGAGCCGUCCACAUCAGCUCAAUUUAAAUGUUACUGAUGGUGUUUUCAUAAAACACAUGACAUUGUUAUGGCAAGUGACCACAAGGAAGACUGCUUCAACCUCUUCCAUUUGAAUAAGCGGUGAAUGCCAUGCAGCAAUCUGCCUAUGGGAGCAUCUUUGUGGUCUUUCGCAAACCAAUGAGUCCACUCGAUGAAUGAGAGAUGACUCUUUAGUGUCUUCUCUGUGAGGUAUCCCUGCAGUCUCCACAUCUGGGAUUUGAAGGCUGACCAAGACCUGAUCAGGUACCUCCAAAUCACCCCUUCCAUACUGUAAUAAAGAAUCAGAAGACAAGAAAAUAAACAUUAGGACUGUCAAUUAAUUAACAUUUCUAGAACAUGUAGAACUCAAAGAUUAUUUUGUUUAUUAGUUUAAAAAAGGAUGCUGGUCCUCUGGCCAUUGUGUUUGGUCAUAUUGAAAAGAGAAAAAGGCAUAGCCAUAAAUACAGUUAAUAGGACGGGAGGGGACAGGCUGUUAGCUCCGGUUAGCACUUUAGCAUCGAGCUAGCGGAGCUUCUGUCAUUCAAAUAACUCGGACAUGUUGUUUAAAACCUAUAACACCCAAUUUAUUAAAAUAUCCGGAUUUAAUCGGGCUCUCUCCCAUAAGUACAGUUAAUGGGACGGGAAGAGACAGGCUCGGUUAGCCCCGGUUAGCGCGAUGCUAAAGAGCAGCUCUACCGGAGCAUGCCACCUCAACAGGUGCAAGUAAGCCUCCGGUUUGAUAUUCGCCGGAUAUUCGGUUUACCACCCAAUCGGAUUCAUCAACAUAAGUGACAUACAUUACGGGCUUAGUAUGUUGAGGACGGUUUAGGACGGCGUAUCGCGAAAAUCACAAACACAUGUUGUCGCCAUCGAUGUCUGUGCAACAACGUCAUUUACGUUCUGGCUGCUACCUGUUUUAGGGACCGUCAACAAGUUACACUCACCGACUGGUGGCAGAGACGUUACCAUGGAAUUGUUUCUGGAAAUAAAUCAUGUAAAAUAACAUAAAAAUCACUAAAAAAUACAUUUU
RNAcentral lists this long non-coding RNA (1541 nucleotides) under Gadus morhua (Atlantic cod). RNAcentral's name for it is "lncRNA (ENSGMOG00000030295.1)". Lineage: Eukaryota; Metazoa; Chordata; Actinopteri; Gadiformes; Gadidae. The record is from RNAcentral.